UGAGCCUCCCAAACACAGAGCUAACUCUGGCAAUGCAUGGGUCAACCUCAUUGUCAAUGUGUGCAUCCCUGGAAAGUACAUUACAAAGGUCUACUGGAUUUUGUGCCUUCCAGAAGUGUGUGCACAUACCUUGUACUGCUGCACAUCCCUUCCUGUUUUGAGCUGAUAUCGACAGGAGCCCUGCUUAGACUCAUGCACUCACCCACCUUGGUGGAGGUCCCUCAUUCUCCUUUGGAAUGGCUCUGAUUGUGAGGAAGCUCUGAUGUCCAGCUUAAAGCUGCUUCUCUGUCAUAUCCACCCACUAGUCCUGGUUCUACUCCUGGGGCCAAGCAGAACCAGGCUAUCUUCCUUUUCUACUAGCCAGCCCUCCUAACACUUGAAAACACAGAACUGUGGAACUGAAUAAAAUUUCUCCCAGCCUUUUCAUUCCCUUUCUCCCCAUCACCAUCUACUGGCCACUGAGAAGAGCCUAAACCUUGAACCCCUGCUUCUAUUUUCCACUAAGUCGCUGGCCUCCAUCUCUGUUUCUGCCAGGACCAAAGAAUGCAUUCAGUCUGCCCCAGGAAAAACCCUGGUGGAACCCUUGACAUGUCCUGUGCAGACAAGCAUUUGACAGCUGGUUACCCUGGCAACUAGUUCGUCUUUGAAAUCAUUUCUGGGCCUGUCAGACCCCCUCCUGCCUUUCUUGAACAGAGAGCUGUCCAGCAUUGUCAAGGAGAUUCGACAGGCAGAUUAGAAGUAGCUGGAGGAGAGAGGGAGGCUGAUUUCCUGGAGAGGCAGGCCACUUUGCAGGCGAGGCUCACCAAAGGGUUAAGAAGAUGCUAACUUUCUGAAGUCUGAAAAUAAGAUGACAGCGGCAUCAACAAGAACUAUUUAUGGCAUCGCACAACUUGCUAAUUUGGGGAAAGAACAACUUUGCACAUCCAGGCUAGAUCUGCCUGCAUUUCUUCCUUCGGACUCAGCCUUCAGGUAGUAGGCAAGGCUUCUAGAAGCUGGAGCUGUGGGCCGGCCCAGCAGGGGCUUCGAGUCAGUAGCCUGAGAUGAAAGGACCAUGGGGAUCAGUGAGGUCAACCCCAUCAUUUUACAGAAGAAGAAAAAAGACCAUAGACUAUGCCUGGCCUGCCUGCUGUCUCAUAGUGAGUAAGAAAAGACCCAGGGAUUUAAACCUGGGUCCUCUGACUCCAAUUCCAAAGUUCUUUCUAUUGUUUUAUGCUUCAAUAAUGAUGUAGGAACUGGAAAAUGUGGAUUUCCUGGAAAGGUUACACUCCCUAACUCCAUGAAGAGGAUGAGAAGUCACUAGUGACCAAGAGAUCAGGCCUGGAACAUCCUCUCUCCUCAAUUUUGCCUCUUAGUAUUAUUGCUGGCUUCCUUGAAGACUCACCUUCUGCAGGAGACUUUUCCAGGAUUCAAGGAUAUUAGUGUCUUUCUCUAAAAUUACCUUCCCUCUUCCCUGAAUACAUCUUGUAUGGGUUGAUUUCUAUAUGUUGUGUAUCCUGAUUAGAAUAGAAGAUCCCUGAGGGCAGGGACUACCCUUUUCAUUUUUUUUUCUUGUUAUCUCCAAUGCUUAGCAUAGUGUCUGGCACAUUGUAAUAAAAAGCUUAACAAACACCUGUUGAUUGAUUCAUUGGCAUUUGGUCGGGGCUUGCAAGAAUGGGUACAAUCUCAAGAUGUAGAAAGCGGUCUAGAGAACACCAUGAGAAAGGCACACAGGUAAGGAAGUUUAUACCACGGGCCUGUGAUGUUGACAGAGCCAAUUUUCUAGAGUCAAAGAGUAGUUUGGGGGUAAU
This is a non-coding RNA of Phascolarctos cinereus (koala), 1787 nucleotides long. Lineage: Eukaryota; Metazoa; Chordata; Mammalia; Diprotodontia; Phascolarctidae. The record is from RefSeq and is a predicted model, not a curated record.